ACAUGCAAGUCGAACGAGGUAGCAAUACCAAGUGGCAGACGGGUGCGUAACAUGUGGGAAUCUGCCUUUUGGUUCGGAACAACAUGGGGAAACCUGUGCUAAUACCGGAUAAGUCCUAACGGAGAAAGUUUUAACGCCGAAAGAUGAGCCCGCAUUUGAUUAGCUUGUUGGUGAGGUAAAAGCUCACCAAGGCAAUGAUCAAUAGCUGAUUUGAGAGGAUGAUCAGCCACACUGGGACUGAGACACGGCCCAGACUCCUACGGGAGGCAGCAGUGGGGAAUCUUGCACAAUGGAGGAAACUCUGAUGCAGCGAUGCCGCGUGAGUGAAGAAGGCCUUUGGGUUGUAAAGCUCUUUUGUCGGGAAAGAUAAUGACUGUACCCGAAGAAUAAGGUCCGG
RNAcentral lists this ribosomal RNA (397 nucleotides) under uncultured bacterium. RNAcentral describes it as "bacterial SSU rRNA". It matches the Rfam family "Bacterial small subunit ribosomal RNA", at positions 53 to 496 of the family's 1533-position model. The record is from RNAcentral.